GAAACAUGUAGCUCACAUUUCCACUUUCCAGCACCCUAUGAUCACACUCAAAAAGAAUCAGCCUUAGGAUGAAGCUGACCUUCUGGAUGGCAGAAGGAAGAGGAAAGAACCUGGAUUGUAUAUGAUGUAGUUGGUUGACUAGAUCACACAACGCUGAAACCCACCCUGCACCUGGAUUUCCAGUUCUGUGAGACCGAAGCUGACAUGUCAUCCAUCCGCGGGAAGCUGCUCUGGACCUUUGAGAGAAAGGCUCCAUUUAGAUUUAGCAAAACCCUUUCAUUCAGAGUCCUUGCAGAGAAGCACAGCAUAAAUGAGUGGGAAACCAGCUGCCAUGUCGUAAAGAUGCUCAGAUGACCUUCUGGAGAGACAUGUUUAGUGAGGAACUGAGGCUUCCUGCCAAUGGCCAUGUGAGUGAGAGUUUGGAAUGGGAUCUUCCAGGCCUGCCCAGGAUCACUGCAGCCUCAUGAGAAGCCCUGAGGGAGGACCACCCAGGCAAGCCGCGCCCAGAUUCUCGACUCAGAAAUUGCAAAGAUGCCUUGCUGUCUCUCUGGCUCAGCCUUCCCACCAUCACUAAAGCUGCCAGUUAACCAGUCUUUGAGUGUGGCUUCAGGAAGACAGAGCUGCGUGGUGGACUGCUUCUUUGUGGAGCCCACUGCUUCUCCAUGUAACGUUUCAGCACUCUCUGCAGAGAGCACUUACAGCGCCCUGGAGCAGCUGUCCGAAACCGCCUUCACUCUGGCGGCGCAAGCCGGUUCCAGCUCUUCUCCAUUCCAUUCACUUCCUGAGACCAGAGAUCUGGUCUCCAGCCACUGGUUCUCUUCCAGGCUUAGAAAUCAACUUUCCGGGAGUGGAAGAAGAGACUGUCUCUUAGCUUUAAUUAAUUGUUGAAAGAAUAGAGAGGAGUCUAUAGUUCUAGAAGGAAAAAAGGGAGGAAUGGAAAUUUUCUGGACAGGGGACAAAGAAGUAAAAGAAAGAUAAUUUUCCAACUCACUCUCUUCACCCUAGUCUUUAAAAGGUUUUGUUGGGUGUUAUGAGGUUUGAAAUCUAUCUUUAGGGAGGGAUGUGUUACUCAAAAGAAAUUGCCUCUAGAUUGUUUUCCCAAGUCAGUCAUUUAAAAAAUAUUUUAAUGUCAUUCUGCUUAAAUUUUUUAAACAGUGAAGUUUAUCUGCAAAGUACUUCUCAACUCAGGGUAGGAUAGGGGUAAAUUUGAGGUAGUAAGUGUGUUAGAAUCUUGAGGUAGGUUUCCUUUGAAAAAAACAAGUAGGUAUCAUUUUUAUUGGGAAAAUGAAAAAAUGCGUAAGUUUUCACAUUACAAACUGAGGAGAGUUUGAAAAAACAUCUGAUGAGGUUAUGCAGAAGACACAGGGAUUCAUGAUUGGGACACAUCCCUUCAAAACCUUGGAGGAACAGGAGAUUUUCCUGGUUAUCAAAUAGGGGGAUGAGUUUUAGAAGGCUGAAAAGCAUUUAGAAGAAUGUUGCGUUUCCUAAAAAGGCAGAAUGAGGAAGCUGGUAGACGAUUCCAGAACAUUCUGUGGGUCUCAUGAAGAGAAGAUUCAGGGAAGGGCAGG
This 1568-nucleotide long non-coding RNA is filed under the name Equus caballus (horse). RNAcentral's name for it is "lncRNA (ENSECAG00000046946.1)". Lineage: Eukaryota; Metazoa; Chordata; Mammalia; Perissodactyla; Equidae. The record is from RNAcentral.